RNAcentral lists this ribosomal RNA (116 nucleotides) under Acidimicrobiales bacterium. RNAcentral describes it as "partial 16S ribosomal RNA". It matches the Rfam family "Bacterial small subunit ribosomal RNA", at positions 1419 to 1533 of the family's 1533-position model. Lineage: Bacteria; Bacillati; Actinomycetota; Acidimicrobiia; Acidimicrobiales. The record is from RNAcentral.
GCCCGAAGUCAGUGGCCCAACUCUUUGAGAGGGAGCUGCCGAAGGUGGGGUUAGCGAUUGGGGUGAAGUCGUAACAAGGUAGCCGUACCGGAAGGUGCGGCUGGAUCACCUCCUUU